UCAGUUUGCCAUAAAGGGUUUGGAGGGUUUUUGAUGAGGGCUGUCUUUCGAUGCCUCAUUUUCUAUUGCUUAUCAUUUUUUAUCGUAAAUCAUGCAAAGUGGAUGCAUUGUAACUCUUACCUAGAAGCAUUUAAUGCUACUUGCUGAAAACAAUCGGCAGAGAUGAUGUAGCCCAGCCCUCACUCAAAAAUAUAAUAUCUUAAGGCUCUUUUAAAUUUAUGCCUUCCUGAACUGAUUCCUCAGAAUUUUCCUGGAAGUAUUAUUCUUCCAGCUGCAUCUCUUCUUCCAUUACAGGACUGGUAAGAGAGAGAGAAGACAGGAGCCAAAUGGAGAUAACAAAGUACAGGCAGACAGUGAAGAGUGGUGAUGAACACUGACUGCAAGACUUAUCAUGCUACAAAUCUGGGAAUUUCUAGAAGCAAGAAGAGCACUCCUCUGAAGUUGGCAUGCUGUACGGCUGGAUCUGACCCAUGCUUCUUAAAACGUAAGCCAUCUGUUCUAGAGCCAUCUGGGUUGGCUUUGAUUCCUGAUGGGCAGAUAGCAUUGCUGAAAGGAAGCAUGUGUUAAAACAGGACAAAAUAUAUGUCGCCAGUCACCGAUGUGGAGCUUUAAGCAGAGAGUUUAGAUGUAAGACACUGAAGGCAGCAAAGUUCCUCCUUUUUCUGGAUAAUGAGAGAUUUCUAUUAUUUUUCAAAGAUGAAUCUUUUCGCAGUAAACCACACUUACUCAGAGUGUUCCUUUUAACAUUUUCAUGUAACAGCCAGACAUUUUUCAGCACAACAGUAUGACCAUCUAUCUUUGUUACGGCAAGAGCUGUCGAGGGAAACAUACAGCAGCAGCCCUUUAAUCUUUUAUCUUGUCACGAAUAAGGAAAGAGUUUACACUGAAUUGAUGUCAGCUUUUCUAUAAAUUGAAGAUUUCUUCCCCCCAUUCAUUCAGUAAAAACAGGUUUGAUUUUGAUCGUAUAGGAAUGUAUGCAUUAGUUAAUAUAGCCCAAAACAGCACCCAAACCUCAAAAUCUCUGAGAUUUGAGAUCCUUUAAAUGUGAAC
RNAcentral lists this long non-coding RNA (1050 nucleotides) under Numida meleagris (helmeted guineafowl). RNAcentral describes it as "lncRNA (ENSNMEG00000000577.1)". The record is from RNAcentral. Lineage: Eukaryota; Metazoa; Chordata; Aves; Galliformes; Numididae.